AGGACGAACGCUGGCGGCGUGGAUUAGGCAUGCAAGUCGCGCGACGGGCCUUCGGGCUACGGAGCGGCGAACGGGUGAGUAACACGUGAAUAACCUGUCCCUACAUUCCGGAUAAUUGGCCGAAAGGCCUUGUAAUACGGGGGAGGGUCGUUGAGGGGCAUCUCUUGACGAAGGAAGGCGCAAGCCGUGCGGGGAGGGUUCGCGGAUUAUCAGCUAGUUGGUGGGGUAACGGCCUACCAAGGCGACGACGGGUAG
RNAcentral lists this ribosomal RNA (255 nucleotides) under uncultured bacterium. Its description in RNAcentral is "partial small subunit ribosomal RNA". It matches the Rfam family "Bacterial small subunit ribosomal RNA", at positions 26 to 286 of the family's 1533-position model. The record is from RNAcentral.